UACGGGGGGAGCGAACGUUGUUCGGAAUCACUGGGCGUAAAGGGCGUGUAGGCGGCUGAAUAAGUGGGAUGUUAAAUCCCCCGGCUCAACCGGGGACCUGCAUCUCAUACUGUUCAGCUCGAGCACAUCAGAGGAGACUGGAAUUCCCGGUGUAGCGGUGAAAUGCGUAGAUAUCGGAAGGAACAUCAGUGGCGAAAGCGACUUCCUGGACCAAUACUGACGCUCAUGUGCGAAAGCGUGGGGAGCAAACAGG
Molecule: ribosomal RNA, 253 nt
Filed under: uncultured bacterium
Lineage: Bacteria
Description: partial 16S ribosomal RNA
Rfam family: Bacterial small subunit ribosomal RNA
Source: RNAcentral